CACACAUUUCCCCGAAUGGUGUCCCGUAAGGGUAAAGGAUUAUUCGCUGGAAGCGACUGCUAAUUCAGCUAGGUUGGUGAGGUAUUGCUCAACCAUGCCUACGACGUUUAGGGGACUUGAGAGGGUGACCCCCAACCGAUGAAGACUGAGACACGGCUCAUACCUACGGGGGCGCAGCCGAGAAUAUCGACAAUGGGCGAAAGCCUGAUCGAGCGAUACCGCGUGGUGGAUGAAGCGCUUCGGCGCGUAAACACUUUUAUGAGGGAAGAAGUUAUUGACAUUACCUCAUGAAUAAGGGGCUCCUAACUCUGUGCCAGCAGGAGCGGUAAUACAGAGGCCCCAAGCGUUACCCGGGAAUUAUUGGGCGUAAAGAGUGCGUAGGUGGUCGUGUUAGUCGUCUGUCAAAGCCCUCGGCUCAACCGAGGACAUGCGGGCGAAACGGCACGACUUGAGGGCGUGAGAGGUACAUGGAACUCAUGGUGUAGGGGUGAAAUCCGUUGAUAUCAUGGGGAACACCGAAAGCGAAGGCAAUGUACUGGCGCGUUCCUGACACUCAAGCACGAAAGCGUGGGUAGCGAACGGGAUUAGAUACCCCGGUAGUCCACGCCCUAAACUAUGUCCGCUGGCUUUAGGGAGUAUCGACCCUCUCUGAGGCGAAGCUAACGCGUUAAGCGGACCGCCUGGGUAGUACGAUCGCAAGAUUAAAACUCAAAGGAAUAGACGGGAGCUUGCACAAGUGGUGGAGCGUGUGGCUUAAUUCGUCGCUAAGCGAAGAACCUUACCAGGGCUAGAAAUCCUACUGCACGCCUAGCGAAAGCUAGGAAGCCUUCGAGGGUGUAGGACAGGUGAUGCAUGGCUGUCGUCAGUUCGUGGUUUGAAUCGUUCCCUUCAGUGGGGUAACGAACGCAACCUUCGUUGCCUGUUACACGUAUCAGGCGAGACUGCCCCCUCACGGGGGAGGAAGGUGGAGAUGACGCCAAGUCAGCAUGUCCCUCUGAUGUCCUGGGCUGCACACGCGCUACAAUCGCCGUUACAACGAGGCGCAAUAGGGUAACCCGGAGCAAAUCUUUCAAAAGCGGCGCCAGUUCGGAUUGGGGUCUGCAACCCGACCCCAUGAAGCCGGAAUCACUAGUAAUCGCGGGUCAGCCACACCGCGGUGAAUACGUUUUCAAGCUUUGUACACACCGCCCG
Molecule: ribosomal RNA, 1191 nt
Filed under: uncultured bacterium
Lineage: Bacteria
Description: bacterial SSU rRNA
Rfam family: Bacterial small subunit ribosomal RNA
Source: RNAcentral